CAGCUCGCGUCAGCACAUAUGCUAAAACUGGAACAAUACAGAGGUUAGCAUGGCCCCUGCGCAAGGAUGAUAUGCAAAUUUGUGAAGCAUUCCAUAUUAAA
Molecule: small nuclear RNA, 101 nt
Organism: Bison bison bison
Lineage: Eukaryota; Metazoa; Chordata; Mammalia; Artiodactyla; Bovidae
Source: Ensembl